This 174-nucleotide unclassified non-coding RNA is filed under the name soil metagenome. RNAcentral's name for it is "partial contains 5.8S ribosomal RNA, internal transcribed spacer 2, and large subunit ribosomal RNA". The record is from RNAcentral.
AACCUAGCACACCUGCGGUGUGUACCUGCGGAAGGAUCAUUAAAGAUUGACCGAAAGGUCUUAUCUCUAUAUCCCUCACCUCUGUGAACUGUGGACCUCCGGGUCUAUUUAACAAACAUCAGUGUAAUGAACGUAUAUAUCAUUAAACAAAACAAAACUUUCAACAACGGAUCU